Long non-coding RNA from Humulus lupulus (European hop), 420 nucleotides. RefSeq lists it as uncharacterized. The transcript has 3 exons. Lineage: Eukaryota; Viridiplantae; Streptophyta; Magnoliopsida; Rosales; Cannabaceae. The record is from RefSeq and is a predicted model, not a curated record.
UUUGCUUUGCAGUAUCAAUAAGCUUUUAAUUCCUAGUAGUUUGAAAUUCUUUGUAAUGCUUUGUCUUAGGUUUUGUUUUGUGGAGAAAUUCUUAACUUAGAUUGAUUGAUCAACAAAAUUAGUCCUUAGUUCAUUCAAUUAUUUUUGUUAGGUGGCCAUACUCACAUAUUUGAAUGUACAUCAAAGCUCGCCAUUUAAACUCAACUGUGCAAUUUUCAUUUCGAACUCCCAUAUGCCUAGAGGACUGCAAUGAUGUUGUAAGCCACUUUAUUGAGUGGAUAUAUGUUGACUUUUACAAAAGGAUCACCGCUGUGAAAUUGGGAGGAGGUACUAUCUUUUCUCUGAUUUUUGUAAGCAUAGCUAUGCUAUAUUUCUAUUUCUAUGUGUGGGUGUGUGUUUGUAUAAUUAUAGAUAAUUCUU